CGGACGGGUGAGUAACGCGUGGGUAACCUGCCUUGUACUGGGGGACAACAGUUGGAAACGACUGCUAAUACCGCAUAAGCGCACAGCUUCGCAUGGAGCAGUGUGAAAAACUCCGGUGGUACAAGAUGGACCCGCGUCUGAUUAGCUGGUUGGUGAGGUAACGGCCCACCAAGGCGACGAUCAGUAGCCGGCCUGAGAGGGUGAACGGCCACAUUGGGACUGAGACACGGCCCAA
Molecule: ribosomal RNA, 235 nt
Filed under: uncultured bacterium
Lineage: Bacteria
Description: partial 16S ribosomal RNA
Rfam family: Bacterial small subunit ribosomal RNA
Source: RNAcentral